UUUCCUACGGGACGCAGCAGUGAGGAAUAUUGGUCAAUGGGCGGAAGCCUGAACCAGCCAAGUCGCGUGAGGGAAUAAGGCCCUACGGGUCGUAAACCUCUUUUGCCGGAGAGCAAGGGCCGGGACGCGUCCCGGCCCGGAGAGUACCCGGAGGAAAAGCAUCGGCUAAUUCCGUGCCAGCAGCCGCGGUAAUACGGAGGAUGCGAGCGUUAUCCGGAUUUAUUGGGUUUAAAGGGUGCGUAGGCGGGCUUUUAAGUCAGCGGUAAAAAUUCGGGGCUCAACCCCGUCCGGCCGUUGAAACUGGG
Molecule: ribosomal RNA, 305 nt
Filed under: uncultured bacterium
Lineage: Bacteria
Description: bacterial SSU rRNA
Rfam family: Bacterial small subunit ribosomal RNA
Source: RNAcentral